UCCUGGUUAGCUCAGUUGGUGGUGCGCUCCACUGGAAAUGGAGGGGUUCCUUGUUCGAUUCCAGGACCAGGCG
This 73-nucleotide transfer RNA is filed under the name Ixodes scapularis (black-legged tick). RNAcentral's name for it is "tRNA-Ser for anticodon GGA". It matches the Rfam family "tRNA". Rfam says of the family: Transfer RNA (tRNA) molecules are approximately 80 nucleotides in length. Their secondary structure includes four short double-helical elements and three loops (D, anti-codon, and T loops). Further hydrogen bonds mediate the characteristic L-shaped molecular structure. tRNAs have two regions of fundamental functional importance: the anti-codon, which is responsible for specific mRNA codon recognition, and the 3' end, to which the tRNAs corresponding amino acid is attached (by aminoacyl-tRNA synthetases). tRNAs cope with the degeneracy of the genetic code in two manners: having more than one tRNA (with a specific anti-codon) for a particular amino acid; and 'wobble' base-pairing, i.e. permitting non-standard base-pairing at the 3rd anti-codon position. The record is from Rfam by way of RNAcentral. Lineage: Eukaryota; Metazoa; Arthropoda; Arachnida; Ixodida; Ixodidae.